RNAcentral lists this ribosomal RNA (505 nucleotides) under Sulfitobacter dubius. Its description in RNAcentral is "bacterial SSU rRNA". It matches the Rfam family "Bacterial small subunit ribosomal RNA", at positions 394 to 917 of the family's 1533-position model. The record is from RNAcentral. Lineage: Bacteria; Pseudomonadati; Pseudomonadota; Alphaproteobacteria; Rhodobacterales; Roseobacteraceae.
AUGCCGCGUGUGUGAUGAAGGUCUUAGGAUCGUAAAGCACUUUCGCCAGGGAUGAUAAUGACAGUACCUGGUAAAGAAACCCCGGCUAACUCCGUGCCAGCAGCCGCGGUAAUACGGAGGGGGUUAGCGUUGUUCGGAAUUACUGGGCGUAAAGCGCACGUAGGCGGAUUGGAAAGUUGGGGGUGAAAUCCCGGGGCUCAACCCCGGAACUGCCUCCAAAACUAUCAGUCUAGAGUUCGAGAGAGGUGAGUGGAAUUCCAAGUGUAGAGGUGAAAUUCGUAGAUAUUUGGAGGAACACCAGUGGCGAAGGCGGCUCACUGGCUCGAUACUGACGCUGAGGUGCGAAAGUGUGGGGAGCAAACAGGAUUAGAUACCCUGGUAGUCCACACCGUAAACGAUGAAUGCCAGUCGUCGGGCAGUAUACUGUUCGGUGACACACCUAACGGAUUAAGCAUUCCGCCUGGGGAGUACGGUCGCAAGAUUAAAACUCAAAGGAAUUGACGGA